GGCGUAAGGGCUCGCAGGCGGUUUCUUAAGUCUGAUGUGAAAGCCCCCGGCUCAACCGGGGAGGGUCAUUGGAAACUGGGAAACUUGAGUGCAGAAGAGGAGAGUGGAAUUCCACGUGUAGCGGUGAAAUGCGUAGAGAUGUGGAGGAACACCAGUGGCGAAGGCGACUCUCUGGUCUGUAACUGACGCUGAGGAGCGAAAGCGUGGGGAGCGAACAGGAUUAGAUACCCUGGUAGUCCACGCCGUAAACGAUGAGUGCUAAGUGUUAGGGGGUUUCCGCCCCUUAGUGCUGCAGCUAACGCAUUAAGCACUCCGCCUGGGGAGUACGGUCGCAAGACUGAAACUCAAAGGAAUUGACGGGGGCCCGCACAAGCGGUGGAGCAUGUGGUUUAAUUCGAAGCAACGCGAAGAACCUUACCAGGUCUUGACAUCCUCUGACAACCCUAGAGAUAGGGCUUUCCCUUCGGGGACAGAGUGACAGGUGGUGCAUGGUUGUCGUCAGCUCGUGUCGUGAGAUGUUGGGUUAAGUCCCGCAACGAGCGCAACCCUUGAUCUUAGUUGCCAGCAUUCAGUUGGGCACUCUAAGGUGACUGCCGGUGACAAACCGGAGGAAGGUGGGGAUGACGUCAAAUCAUCAUGCCCCUUAUGACCUGGGCUACACACGUGCUACAAUGGACAGAACAAAGGGCUGCAAGACCGCAAGGUUUAGCCAAUCCCAUAAAUCUGUUCUCAGUUCGGAUCGCAGUCUGCAACUCGACUGCGUGAAGCUGGAAUCGCUAGUAAUCG
Molecule: ribosomal RNA, 786 nt
Filed under: Bacillus pumilus
Lineage: Bacteria; Bacillati; Bacillota; Bacilli; Caryophanales; Bacillaceae
Description: bacterial SSU rRNA
Rfam family: Bacterial small subunit ribosomal RNA
Source: RNAcentral